GUCCACACCGUAAACGCUGUCUACUAGCUGUUUGUGAUUUUAAAUCGUGAGUAGCGAAGCUAACGCGCUAAGUAGACCGCCUGGGGAGUACGGCCGCAAGGUUAAAACUCAAAUGAAUUGACGGGGGCCCGCACAAGCGGUGGAGCAUGUGGUUUAAUUCGAUGCAACGCGAAGAACCUUACCUACACUUGACAUGCAGAGAACUUUCCAGAGAUGGAUUGGUGCCUUCGGGAACUCUGACACAGGUGCUGCAUGGCU
RNAcentral lists this ribosomal RNA (258 nucleotides) under uncultured bacterium. RNAcentral's name for it is "partial 16S ribosomal RNA". It matches the Rfam family "Bacterial small subunit ribosomal RNA", at positions 793 to 1050 of the family's 1533-position model. The record is from RNAcentral.